This 497-nucleotide ribosomal RNA is filed under the name uncultured bacterium. RNAcentral's name for it is "partial 16S ribosomal RNA". It matches the Rfam family "Bacterial small subunit ribosomal RNA", at positions 28 to 507 of the family's 1533-position model. The record is from RNAcentral.
GAUGAACGCUGGCGGCGUGCCUAAUACAUGCAAGUCGAGCGAACAGACGAGGAGCUUGCUCCUCUGACGUUAGCGGCGGACGGGUGAGUAACACGUGGAUAACCUACCUAUAAGACUGGGAUAACUUCGGGAAACCGGAGCUAAUACCGGAUAAUAUAUUGAACCGCAUGGUUCAAUAGUGAAAGACGGUUUUGCUGUCACUUAUAGAUGGAUCCGCGCCGCAUUAGCUAGUUGGUAAGGUAACGGCUUACCAAGGCAACGAUGCGUAGCCGACCUGAGAGGGUGAUCGGCCACACUGGAACUGAGACACGGUCCAGACUCCUACGGGAGGCAGCAGUAGGGAAUCUUCCGCAAUGGGCGAAAGCCUGGCGGAGCAACGCCGCGUGAGUGAUGAAGGUCUUCGGAUCGUAAAACUCUGUUAUUAGGGAAGAACAAAUGUGUAAGUAACUAUGCACGUCUUGACGGUACCUAACCAGAAAGCCACGGCUAACUACGUG